Molecule: ribosomal RNA, 477 nt
Filed under: uncultured bacterium
Lineage: Bacteria
Description: partial 16S ribosomal RNA
Rfam family: Bacterial small subunit ribosomal RNA
Source: RNAcentral
AUUGAACGCUGGCGGCAUGCCUUACACAUGCAAGUCGAACGGUAACAGGUUAAGCUGACGAGUGGCGAACGGGAGAGUAAUGUAUCGGAACGUGCCCAGUCGUGGGGGAUAACUGCUCGAAAGAGCAGCUAAUACCGCAUACGACCUGAGGGUGAAAGCGGGGGAUCGCAAGACCUCGCGCGAUUGGAGCGGCCGAUAUCAGAUUAGGUAGUUGGGGAGGUAAAGGCUCACCAAGCCGACGAGCUGUAGCUGGUCUGAGAGGACGACCAGCCACACUGGGACUGAGGCACGGCCCAGACUCCUGCGGGGGGCAGCAGUCGGGAAUUUUGGACAAUGGGCGCGAGCCUGAUCCAGCCAUGCCGCGUGCGGGAAGAAGCCCUUCGGGUUGUAAACCGCUUUUGUCAGGGAAGAAAAGGUUCUGGCUAAUACCUGGGACUCAUGACGGUACCUGAAGAAUAAGCACCGGCUAACUACGUG